UGGGGAAUAUUGCACAAUGGGCGCAAGCCUGAUGCAGCCAUGCCGCGUGUAUGAAGAAGGCCUUCGGGUUGUAAAGUACUUUCAGUCGGGAGGAAGGUGUCAAGGUUAAUAACCUUGGCAAUUGACGUUACCGACAGAAGAAGCACCGGCUAACUCCGUGCCAGCAGCCGCGGUAAUACGGAGGGUGCAAGCGUUAAUCGGAAUUACUGGGCGUAAAGCGCACGCAGGCGGUUGAUUGAGUCAGAUGUGAAAUCCCCGGGCUUAACCCGGGAAAUGCAUCUGAUACUGGUCAGCUAGAGUCUUGUAGAGGGGGGUAGAAUUCCAUGUGGAGCGGUGAAAUGCGUAGAGAUGUGGAGGAAUACCGGUGGCGAAGGCGGGCCCCUGGACAAAGACUGACGCUCAGGUGCGAAAGCGUGGGGAGCAAACAGG
This 429-nucleotide ribosomal RNA is filed under the name Chloroflexota bacterium. RNAcentral's name for it is "Chloroflexi bacterium partial 16S ribosomal RNA". It matches the Rfam family "Bacterial small subunit ribosomal RNA", at positions 355 to 776 of the family's 1533-position model. The record is from RNAcentral. Lineage: Bacteria; Bacillati; Chloroflexota.